UUUUGCAAACUUUUUGCUCGACCUUUUCUUAGCUCAUCCUCUUUCUUUCUCUCUCUCUCCCCAUGCUCUCUAUCUCCUCCCUAUCUCACCUCAUUACGCGGUGGACUGGGUACCAACUUCUUCUAUUUUGGGAGGCAAUUUCAGAGGAUGUAUGUAGCCUCUUCACACGACUUGCGUUGGCCUCAUGAGAUGGGUGGCGUCUUCACCUUGUUCCUUCUAUUACCAUCAUUCAUGGCAGGCCGACUACUAUUGCUGGAAGAAGCCAUUGAUGUGUGCUACAACUUAAUUGAAGAAAUUCUAUUUGGAGUGUUCUUUUGUUUUCACCGUUGGCACAGAAGGACUGCCCAACCGCCGAUCAACCAAACCCCGCCGUCCGAUGUCUAGAAACGCCGCAAGUGGAGCCCACUGCCUGGUCCCCCAUGCGAAGGCGCAUGCAUGCGCGUGCGCCGUUCUACCACUACAAGAAAAAGACCCUACAUUGACGAUAUCUACAGCGACGACUACAAAGUCGUCAUUGUAUGCUGUCGAAAAUCACGAGAAAUAAUUUUUUUCAUUUAUUGAAAUUAUUAGGCUACAGUGACAACAUGACCUCGCUAUAGGGUCAUCAACAAUGCCAAAGAAAACCCUCCAAAUUCCUGCUGCCCUACAGCGACGACAUGUUGUCGCUAUAGAGUGCUCGUGGUGUGAAAAGGUAGGAAAAAUUCACCCCUAUAGCAACGAUUAGUCUUCGUUAUAGAUUAAGUGGAAAGUAACCGCCAAAAGGCGGUUACCAAUUUCCAUGACCCCAUGUCGUCGCUAUAGAGACCCAUUAAAAGAAAGUUUCAGUUAAAAAUGUACUCUAUAGCGACGACAUGGCGUCGCUAUAGGGGUCCAAAAAAACGGGGGAAAGUGGACUACCAAAAAUUUCGGUCACAUUUUCGUAGUUUAUAACUACGACAUGUCGCACAGUAGGGUCUUACCAUUUUGAGUGAAACGGUGCGUUGAACCUCUACGAUGAUAUGUUAUUACCUAUAGCGACGACAUGUCGUCGCUAUAGGUUUCGGCUAUAUAACCCCCAAGCAGAGGCUUUCUUCUUCAUUUUUGCUGCAAUUUUCCAAAACAGAGAAACUUUUCUCUGGUUUUCUUCGUCGCGCAGCGCCGCCCAGCGCCGCCUAGAGCCAUUUUUGGCCCCCUUUUGUUAAGAUUGUAUUGGAGCAUCUAGAGCAUCUCAAGCUUUUGGGUAUUGUUUUUAAUUUUAAAUAUUUGUUUUGUUUUGUGAGCAAUAGUGUGUAGAUAAUUUUUAAAUUAAAUUAAAUUCUAGUAGUUUUUAAAAUAAAUUUGUAUGUUUUGUUAAUUCUAUUGUGAAUUUGAUAUUAAUUUUAUUUUAUGAAAUAGGUAUGUUAAAAUAUUUUUUUGUUUUGAAUUGUAUA
Humulus lupulus (European hop) is the source of this 1409-nucleotide long non-coding RNA. RefSeq lists it as uncharacterized. The record is from RefSeq and is a predicted model, not a curated record. Lineage: Eukaryota; Viridiplantae; Streptophyta; Magnoliopsida; Rosales; Cannabaceae. The transcript is spliced from 3 exons.